Molecule: ribosomal RNA, 253 nt
Filed under: uncultured bacterium
Lineage: Bacteria
Description: partial 16S ribosomal RNA
Rfam family: Bacterial small subunit ribosomal RNA
Source: RNAcentral
UACGGAGGGCGCAAGCGUUACUCGGAAUCACUGGGCGUAAAGAGCGUGUAGGCGGAUAGAUAAGUCAGAAGUGAAAUCCUAUAGCUCAACUAUAGAACUGCUUUUGAAACUGUCUAUCUAGAAUAUGGGAGAGGUAGAUGGAAUUUCUGGUGUAGGGGUAAAAUCCGUAGAGAUCAGAAGGAAUACCGAUUGCGAAGGCGAUCUACUGGAACAUUAUUGACGCUGAGACGCGAAAGCGUGGGGAGCAAACAGG